GGUUGGGAGGGCUCUUCUCCCACUUGGCCCACAGGAGGCUCUUUCCAGCUUAGCUUUUUGUUAGCUGUCUUCUUUCUGUCGGCUUGCUUCUGCACAACUUGGUCUUCUUCUACCUGUGCAUAUUUUCAAGCGUAUGUGAGCAAGUCAGCGUAGUCCCUUAGGAAUAUUUUGGUGAGGGAGAAGAUGAGACGCUCAUUCCAUAGUCCUCGCUUGAGCAUUGAUGUCACCACCGACUUGUCAAGGUUGCAUACUUCAAAUAUGGU
Molecule: long non-coding RNA, 263 nt
Filed under: Elaeis guineensis (African oil palm)
Lineage: Eukaryota; Viridiplantae; Streptophyta; Magnoliopsida; Arecales; Arecaceae
Description: long non-coding RNA (EGUI_LNC003947)
Source: RNAcentral